UGUGGAUUUAAAGGGAGCUAAUUUAUUUGUGGAUGCAUCUGGGAUAUUCAAACUUGCUGACUUUGGGAUUGCUAAACAUCUAACCGGACAAGCAGCUUGCCGCUCUUUGAAGGGAAGUCUAAACUAGAUGGCUCUAGAGGUACUCUGCUUUUGUUAACGUUAAUGCGGCAUACUCAGAGGUCCUCCCCAUACUCGCCGGAUGAACAGAUUUCUCUCGAAUCUCUUGAGGUGGAAGAUGAGGAAAAGUGAAAGACGCUGAUGUGGGAUCAUGCUCAGGCUAUUCUUCAACCUUAUCUCUAAAAAGUGCAUCCUUUUUUUUCAAAUGCUAUAGGUUAAUGAGUUUAAUUAAUAUACGAUUGCUUCACUUCUCAAAAAGUCCUUAUAAAGAUGUAGCUUAUCUGUCUAUAUAGUCAUGCAGCUCUAACGGCGGCCUUUUGCAGAACUGUCCGCCAGGAGAAAGGAUCAUCCUUGGCUCUACUCUUGAAGAAAGCCCUGCUACUCAAGCGUGCAAACUCGACUCAAGUUGCCAUAUGAAUUGACUUUCCUUCAUGUGGCCAUGCUUUGUGUAUUUUGAACGCAAUCGCAUUUUUUUUGGCUACUGGAAAUGAGUCAAUCUGGUCGAUAUUUCGGGUUAGUCAAAAAAAUGAAAGGACAAUUUAUUAUUAUGGAUUGAUCUUCCAGGAAUAUUAGCCUUCUGAGAAAAGAGAGAAUUUUGGGCAGCAGUACCUUUAAUCUAUUCGUGUUUAGAAAUGAUUUCAAAUAUAAUAUUGCUCUAACUUGUCGAUCGAAAAUGUUGUGACGUUCGCCACUUUGCUCUUUUGGAUCAGAGCAGCGUGACCCUGAUUGAACUUGUUUCGACAUUAAACUAUCUAGUAUAGAAUACUCGACUUGCUUAGUAGUUGUAUCAUAUCUGGAAACACAAGCCAGGAAGUUUUCUUUCCUCCCUUUGCUGUAAAAGGUCACCUUAGCCCCACUUUAGGUUAAAAUGUAAAAAGACCAAGAAGAAAGAAUUGCACAAUUAUCACCCCUCUUUGAAUGCCUCGAAGUCAUGGAUAGAUGGAUAACCCUACAUCUUCAGCUCAAGUUGCUGAAACCACUAGCAAGUCAAUGGGGAAAAGGCCAGCUUAUUGGACGUGGCACUUUCGGAAGUGUUUACAUUGCAAGCAACUGAGAAACCAGAGUUCUGGGUGAAUGGAAGGAGUUUGAGCUAUUGCCUAAUGAUCCAAAUUUGGCUGAGUGCAUGAGGCAGUUUAAACAGGUAAUGUUUUUGUUAUGCUUUGGCAUCUAAUCCAUCCUCUCGUCUGAUCUAAAUAUGCUGCGAGGAAACUUUCUUUCAUCAUUUCCAGUUAAUUGAUUGCUUUGCUACUAUAGGAAAUUCAGGUACUUAGCCAGCUUAGACAUCCGAACAUUCUGCAGUAUUAUGGCAGUGAAAUUGGAUUUAAAGGGAGCUAAUUUAUUUGUGGAUGCAUACGGGAUAGUCGGACUUGCUGACUUUGGGAUUGCUAAACAUCUCAUACAAUCAUUGAUGGUGAAUAAUUACAGCAUGGAUCUCGAUUGUGCUGCCGACAUGUGGAGUUUGGGACAUACUAUUACUGAAAUGAUAACUCCGUGAAGCUUCCUAGGAGUGAGUAUGAGCGGGCUCAAGUCAUAUUUAAGGUGAUGUGAAGUUCUCCAGCAAUACCUGAGACAUUAUCUCCCGAGGGAAAGGAUUUCCUGCAGUGCUGCUUUCGAACACAGCCUGCCAAGAAGCCUUCAGCAGCUAUGCCACUUGAGCAUGCUUUCCUGCGAAUUUGAAGUUGCUUAUGAUUGACUUAUUUCAAGUGCCAUACGUUGUUGCAAAUGGAUGUGGUACUGUAAAGUUCCAUAUUUACUAAACUAGAAUAAUCACAGGGUCCAUAGAUGUGAUGAAGUACUUGUAUAUCGACGAAAUAAGAUGCAUGUUCCUCUCGCAUGGUU
Long non-coding RNA from Eucalyptus grandis, 1956 nucleotides. RefSeq lists it as uncharacterized. The record is from RefSeq and is a predicted model, not a curated record. NCBI's taxonomy places the organism in Eukaryota, Viridiplantae, Streptophyta, Magnoliopsida, Myrtales, Myrtaceae. The transcript is spliced from 6 exons.